Molecule: ribosomal RNA, 62 nt
Filed under: Amanita cf. infusca Kew 29011
Lineage: Eukaryota; Fungi; Basidiomycota; Agaricomycetes; Agaricales; Amanitaceae
Description: partial 25S ribosomal RNA
Rfam family: Eukaryotic large subunit ribosomal RNA
Source: RNAcentral
AAGUUGACCUCAAAUCAGGUAGGAUUACCCGCUGAACUUAAGCAUAUCAAUAAGCGGAGGAA